GACGAACGCUGGCGGCGUGCUUAACACAUGCAAGUCGAACGCUGAAGCUCAGCUUUUGUUGGGUGGAUGAGUGGCGAACGGGUGAGUAACACGUGAGUAACCUGCCUCCUUCUUUGGGAUAACGCCCGGAAACGGGUGCUAAUACUGGAUAUUCACUGGUCUUCGCAUGGGGGUUGGUGGAAAGGGUUUUUCUGGUGGGGGAUGGGCUCGCGGCCUAUCAGCUUGUUGGUGGGGUGAUGGCCUACCAAGGCUUUGACGGGUAGCCGGCCUGAGAGGGUGACCGGUCACAUUGGGACUGAGAUACGGCCCAGACUCCUACGGGAGGCAGCAGUGGGGAAUAUUGCACAAUGGGCGAAAGCCUGAUGCAGCGACGCCGCGUGAGGGAUGGAGGCCGUCGGGUUGUGAACCUCUUUCGCUCAUGGUCAAGCCGCAACAAUGGUUGUGGUGAGGGUAGUGGGUAAAGAAGCGCCGGCUAACUACGUG
This 483-nucleotide ribosomal RNA is filed under the name uncultured bacterium. RNAcentral's name for it is "partial 16S ribosomal RNA". It matches the Rfam family "Bacterial small subunit ribosomal RNA", at positions 28 to 507 of the family's 1533-position model. The record is from RNAcentral.